Molecule: non-coding RNA, 517 nt
Organism: Cyanistes caeruleus (blue tit)
Lineage: Eukaryota; Metazoa; Chordata; Aves; Passeriformes; Paridae
Source: RefSeq, a predicted model, not a curated record
AGUGACCCAGCCUUCCCUUUGCUUCCUUUCUUCUUCCCUCCCUGCUGCACAGCUCCUUGGUGCCAGAAGCGCAGUGCUGCCUCACCUGAGGAUUCAGAGCUGCCUCCAGGCCCUUCCAGGACAAGUCCAGAUAUUCAAGGGCGUGAAGCUUCCCCAGCAGCUGCCAAGAAAGUGUUUGCUGCAUCUGGACUUGGGGUUUCAUCAGGCCAGCCAGGCACACUCAAAUUUCAAUCCCAGCCAGAGCUCAUGACUCCACCAUUUCCUGCGCACCAUCAAAGCACUUCUGCGGCCUCUCCAGAGAGCAGCAGCUGCACUUCUCCAGAGCAGCACUUGCCAGCCAACAUCCCAUCAGCUGCCCUGGGCACUUCAGUCCCCAGUGCUCCAGCUGGCAGUGCUGGUUAUGCAGCAUGGAGAGCCCCAAGCUGGGUCUGGAGUACUCCUGGGGAAGAGGAAUUGCCACCGCUGGAUCUGGACCUUGUUCUGGAGACACUGGAGGAGAUGCUUUCACCAUCUGUGC